Molecule: small nucleolar RNA, 117 nt
Organism: Kluyveromyces lactis
Lineage: Eukaryota; Fungi; Ascomycota; Saccharomycetes; Saccharomycetales; Saccharomycetaceae
Source: RefSeq, a predicted model, not a curated record
UGUCUUUCGAUAAUGAUGAGCAUUAAUUACUGCGUUAUCGUAUUGAAUGGCUGUUUAAGUACAGCAUAUCGGAAAACAAACCAUACAGAUUUUUUUAACUACUGAGAUCGAAACAUG